UGUGAAUAUCAGAUAUUGGUGUAAGGUAAUCAUGAAAUAUGUAUGGACAUAUUUCAUGAUUACCUUACACCAAUAUCUGAUAUUCAC
Non-coding RNA from Paramuricea clavata, 87 nucleotides. Lineage: Eukaryota; Metazoa; Cnidaria; Anthozoa; Malacalcyonacea; Plexauridae. The record is from the annotation of a GenBank genome assembly.